This 28-nucleotide non-coding RNA is filed under the name Rattus norvegicus (Norway rat). The record is from RNAcentral. Lineage: Eukaryota; Metazoa; Chordata; Mammalia; Rodentia; Muridae.
UGCAAUGCAGAGUGGGAACAGAGCUUGA